UUUAUCUGGGGGAUAGCCUUUCGAAAGGAAGAUUAAUACCCCAUAAUAUAUAGAGUGGCAUCACUUUAUAUUGAAAGCUCCGGCGGAUAGAGAUGGGCACGCGCAAGAUUAGAUAGUUGGUGAGGUAACGGCUCACCAAGUCAGUGAUCUUUAGGGGGCCUGAGAGGGUGAUCCCCCACACUGGUACUGAGACACGGACCAGACUCCUACGGGAGGCAGCAGUGAGGAAUAUUGGACAAUGGGUGAGAGCCUGAUCCAGCCAUCCCGCGUGAAGGACGACGGCCCUAUGGGUUGUAAACUUCUUUUGUACAGGGAUAAACCUUUCUACGUGUAGAAAGCUGAAGGUACUGUACGAAUAAGCACCGGCUAACUCCGUGCCAGCAGCCGCGGUAAUACGGAGGGUGCAAGCGUUAUCCGGAUUUAUUGGGUUUAAAGGGUCCGUAGGCGGGCCUGUAAGUCAGUGGUGAAAUCUCACAGCUUAACUGUGAAACUGCCAUUGAUACUGCAGGUCUUGAGUAAAUUUGAAGUGGCUGGAAUAAGUAGUGUAGCGGUGAAAUGCAUAGAUAUUACUUAGAACACCAAUUGCGAAGGCAGGUCACUAAGAUUUAACUGACGCUGAUGGACGAAAGCGUGGGGAGCGAACAGGAUUAGAUACCCUGGUAGUCCACGCCGUAAACGAUGCUAACUCGUUUUUGGUAUUUCGGUAUCAGAGACCAAGCGAAAGUGAUAAGUUAGCCACCUGGGGAGUACGUUCGCAAGAAUGAAACUCAAAGGAAUUGACGGGGGCCCGCACAAGCGGUGGAUUAUGUGGUUUUAAUUCGAUGAUACCCCGAGGAACCUUACCAAGG
RNAcentral lists this ribosomal RNA (848 nucleotides) under uncultured bacterium. RNAcentral describes it as "bacterial SSU rRNA". It matches the Rfam family "Bacterial small subunit ribosomal RNA", at positions 131 to 979 of the family's 1533-position model. The record is from RNAcentral.